RNAcentral lists this ribosomal RNA (434 nucleotides) under uncultured Corynebacteriaceae bacterium. RNAcentral's name for it is "bacterial SSU rRNA". It matches the Rfam family "Bacterial small subunit ribosomal RNA", at positions 354 to 796 of the family's 1533-position model. The record is from RNAcentral. Lineage: Bacteria; Bacillati; Actinomycetota; Actinomycetes; Mycobacteriales; Corynebacteriaceae.
GUGGGGAAUAUUGCACAAUGGGCGCAAGCCUGAUGCAGCGACGCCGCGUGGGGGAUGACGGCCUUCGGGUUGUAAACUCCUUUCAGCCAUGACGAAGCCCGUGUGGUGACGGUAGUGGUAGAAGAAGCACCGGCUAACUACGUGCCAGCAGCCGCGGUAAUACGUAGGGUGCGAGCGUUGUCCGGAAUUACUGGGCGUAAAGAGCUCGUAGGUGGUCUGUCGCGUCAUUUGUGAAAGCCCGGGGCUUAACUCCGGGUUGGCAGGUGAUACGGGCAUGACUGGAGUACUGUAGGGGAGACUGGAAUUCCUGGUGUAGCGGUGAAAUGCGCAGAUAUCAGGAGGAACACCGGUGGCGAAGGCGGGUCUCUGGGCAGUAACUGACGCUGAGGAGCGAAAGCAUGGGUAGCGAACAGGAUUAGAUACCCUAGUAGUCC